RNAcentral lists this ribosomal RNA (600 nucleotides) under uncultured bacterium. RNAcentral describes it as "bacterial SSU rRNA". It matches the Rfam family "Bacterial small subunit ribosomal RNA", at positions 110 to 732 of the family's 1533-position model. The record is from RNAcentral.
GUAACGCGUGGAUAUCUGCCUUUGGUUCGGAAUAACCCCGGGAAACUAGGGGCUAAUACCGGAUAGGUCCCUAGCGGGAUAAAGAUUUAUCGCCAAAAGAUGAGUCCGCGUACGAUUAGCUAGUUGGUGAGGUAAUGGCUCACCAAGGCGACGAUCGUUAGCUGGUCUGAGAGGACGAUCAGCCACACUGGGACUGAGACACGGCCCAGACUCCUACGGGAGGCAGCAGUGGGGAAUAUUGGACAAUGGGGGCAACCCUGAUCCAGCCAUGCCGCGUGAGUGAUGAAGGCCUUCGGGUUGUAAAGCUCUUUUGGCGGGGACGAUGAUGACGGUACCCGCAGAAUAAGCCCCGGCUAACUUCGUGCCAGCAGCCGCGGUAAGACGAAGGGGGCUAGCGUUGUUCGGAAUUACUGGGCGUAAAGCGAGUGUAGGUGGUUUCCAAAGUUGGAUGUGAAAGCCUUGAGCUCAAUCAAGAAUGCUUUCAGGAUUGGAGGACUAAGGACCGGAGAGGAUUAGUGGAAUUCCCAAGUGUAAGUGGUGAAAUUACGGUAGACAGAUUGGGGCAAGAAAACCCAGUUGGCGAAAAGGACGGUUAAUUCU